Molecule: long non-coding RNA, 1111 nt
Filed under: Nicotiana benthamiana
Lineage: Eukaryota; Viridiplantae; Streptophyta; Magnoliopsida; Solanales; Solanaceae
Description: long non-coding RNA (NBEN_LNC037699)
Source: RNAcentral
GAAAAAAGACAAAUCAGGGAGAAGCUCCUCUUAUUUCAGUUGCACAUCAUUUCAAGAAUUUUAAGUUGCGAUAACAUAGAUUGACAAUUAAGAACUUUACUGCAUUAGAUUAUUCUCUAUCUCUCCGAAAUAAGGGUAUAGUUUGCCUAUCCUCUAUCCUUCUUAGACCCUAUUAAUGAGAUUCUACUAGAUUGUUGUUGUAGUACUGCAUUAGAUUAUCGAAUCAAUUCAAAAAUGAAUAAUCCAAAAAUAAGUCUCAUGCGCCUGGUCAUUAUUAGAUAAUACAUUAAAGAAUAACUAAUGAUUAUAUCAUGUUCACUUUUGCAAGGAUAUAGUAGUUACAUCACACAUGCAGCCUUUUGAUACUAAUUUCAGUGAUAUCAUAUGAGAUUCAUAAUUACUUCUCCAAAAAUACCCAAAGGAGAAAAAGGCAAACCAACGUUGGCUUUGUCACGUUACUAAACUAUGGAUUAACAAAAAAAUAAACAUUUUCUUAUUAAACUAGUCUUUAUGAUCCUAAGCUAUAAAUCUUUCCUUUGACCUAGCUGGUUGAUGAAACCAAAGAAAGUCAAAAGGAUAAGUAUCUAACUAACUAAACACAAUUCCCUGUAUUCUUCACUAAAAAUUUCCUCUUUGCUCCAUUUUAUUUUUUCUGUGCAAGUCCUCUUUGAAGAACUUCGUUAUAUAUACGGGUAAUAGCGGGCUCAGAAUCAUUAGCUUGCCCUAUUUGAAGGUAUAUAGUAUCGUAUUUAUCAGUAGAAGGACCUGAAAAUGUAUGCAUUUGGGUACUGUUGGUCAAGAUUUAAACCAGUUGAGAGUGGAGAUGAAAAGUUUUUGAACAAAAGGAAAAAGAAGAAAUGGAAACUAAUUAAAAAAAUUGGAAGAUCAGAACAGAAGAAACGGUAACUAAUUAAGUUCGUAUUAUACCCUACGAAAAUAUAUUUAUGUAAACUGUUUUAAUGAUUUCGAUUAGAAAAUAAAGACAGACACAUAGAGAGAGUGCAGAGGGGAAGAGAGAGAAACUUAGCUUAUUAUUGGAAGAGAGCUAGAGCGUACGUGAAUGUGAUGAGAAUCAAAAAACUUAUUGACAUAAAAUUAUAGAAAGAUCAAU